This 406-nucleotide ribosomal RNA is filed under the name uncultured bacterium. Its description in RNAcentral is "partial 16S ribosomal RNA". It matches the Rfam family "Bacterial small subunit ribosomal RNA", at positions 28 to 525 of the family's 1533-position model. The record is from RNAcentral.
GACGAACGCUGGCGGCGUGCCUAAUACAUGCAAGUAGUACGCAGUUGCGAACGGGUGAGUAACGCGUAGGUACCUGCCUCAUAGCGGGGGAUAACUAUUGGAAACGAUAGCUAAUACCGCAUACUGUGAGAUGGACCUGCGUGUUAUUAGCUAGUUGGUGGGGUAAAGGGUCACCAAGGCGACGAUACAUAGCCGACCUGAGAGGGUGUGCGGCCACACUGGGACUGAGACACGGCCCAGCGGCUGACGUGAGGCAGCAGUAGGGAAUCUUCGGCAAUGGACGGAAUUCUGACCGAGGAACGCCGGGUGAGUGAAGAAGGUUUUCUGAUCGUAAAGUUCUGUUGUUAGAGAAGCGGUACCUAACCAGAAAGGGACGGCUAACUACGUGCCAGCAGCGGGGGGAAUU